UCAUCGGCCCCGCGCCUCCGCCCCGCCCGGCUCCCCGGCCUCCCGUCCCGCUGCGCCGCUCUGCCGACCGUCGCCCGCCGCCGCCAAAAUGUCUACAGGUGCACCUGCAGGUUCGAGUGCUGCCUCUGGCAGUAACCGAAGACUUCAGCAGACACAAAAUCAAGUGGAUGAGGUGGUGGACAUCAUGAGAGUCAACGUGGAUAAGGUGUUGGAAAGAGAUCAGAAGCUCUCGGAAUUAGAUGAUCGUGCAGACGCACUGCAGGCUGGAGCUUCCCAAUUUGAAACAAGUGCCGCCAAGCUGAAGAGAAAAUACUGGUGGAAGAAUUGCAAGAUGUGGGCGAUAGGGAUUGUCGUCGUGGUCGUCAUCAUCAUCAUCAUCAUAGAGUGGGGAUGGUAAUAGUACCUACCCCAUAUGUCUGUUACGAGGACACAACUGGCUGAUCCGUAACAAGCGAGUAGCAUGGCGUCUGGCGUUUAGUGGUGCCAGUUGUUGUGGAACGUGUCCCCGUGAAGAAACAGUGAAGCUCUGGCCUGCUGUUCGAGAAACCUCUUCAAGACGUUUGACUUAGAACCUGCUAUACUCUCGAGCUCGCCUACUGUUCUGUCUAAAGUGAAUAUUUUCUGUUUGUUACUGUCAAGUUUAAUUUCUGGGAAACGUGCCUUUGUUAUCGUAAGCACUCCAAACUUGAAGUGCGGCCACCCGGCCCACACUUGGCCCGGCGCCUUCAGACUGCCGCGUGGCUGAGGAAGCGGACUUGAGUCCCAGCGUGUCGUAACCUGGAAGUCCCGCUGUGUGAUUAAUUGCCAUUAAUUUCAGUUAAGGGGAUUCGUUCCCAGAGGCUCCCCCUGUCACACGGCAUCUUCAGAACCACAUUUUAAACCUUUAGGUAAUCAGAAUUCCAGUUUGUGCCUUCCAGAAAGAACACUACUGCCUAACACAAAUCUGUAACCGUAACAGGUUGUGCCUUACUUUGCUAUUUUUCUGAUCCCCUGUAAGAGAACUCUGUACUGUUUAUAAGCACUACUGACCCUUGCACCGUAUUUAAAAAUAAGAUUCUGACCAAGAGUUUUUGCUCUUACCGUAGAUACGAAGAUGUUUACUUUCCUGUUACUGUUUUGUAUCACUUGCUGAAAAUGUUAUUUUCAUCAGAAAUAAUCGCCUCUCGAAAACAUUUUUACGGAGCUGAGGCCAUGACCAAAGUUUCUAUUUUGCCAAAAAGUUAAAUGCCAGUACAGCGUCCUCAAGUCGGUUCCCGACAGAUAAAUUCAGAAAAGUGACAAAUGGAACUUAAGGUGCCCUUCAGAAUUAAAAUGAUAACAUUACAGUGAACCUUCUACAUCCUAUCAGGCCUUUCUUGCCUUUGAGAUGCUGUUUGUGGUGCAGCUCCCGCCUGCACCCCACGCCCCCGCCCUGAUUGAGCAUUUCUCCCAGGGGUUAGAGAAGGUCUAAGCUAGACUCCAACCAUCUCCUACCCAGACGCCGAUCUCUGUCUACCCAGAGGUUUGCAGAUGGUCGGCUCUGGACUCCAGUAGGUUUCUAAUAAUUACGUGAGCAGCAACUUUAUAGCCUUCGAGUGAGACCCAUCUGUGAACUGGUCAUUAGGUGGCCCCGUCCCCAUAGACGAUGGCUUUUUGGAGUUUGUUUCCUAUUUUUAUCCCUAUUCCACUUCCUAAAUCUGUCUUCUAAAUUAUGCUUUCAGUGAGGCAUCGGUCAAGGGUGGAUGACUCUUCUCACAGAGAAUAGCUAACCAGAGACACUUUCUUUUUUCGAUGUCAUAGACUGUCUGCACAAGAUGCUGCUUUGGAAAUAGCGUUGUCAUCUGAGAGACUUGUGUAUGUGAGACUCUCGUCAUCAGGGUGUGUGGCUUAAGGAUGGGAAUUUAGGUAGGAAUGACAACAGGCAAGGAGGCGCUGAGGGAGAAAUACAGAGGGAUCAACACUCUGGCCCGCUGUUACGGAGGAUUCUAAAAUUCCUGUUCACGUGCUAGCGUGUGACUUACAAAGCAACAACAGUUGAGGUGUGCAGGAACACGGGCUCCAUUUCUUUAAGAUCUGUUCCCCUGACAUCAAUGAAGUGAUGCAGUGUUGAGGACACCCCGGCUGGGAGAAGGAAGCAGCGGUCAGCGUCGGGACAUUGGCUCGCCCUCGGCUCAGGGUCCCUGGCCGUGUCUGACUCUGAAACCUUGGUGCUCCCUCCUUGCCUGAUGCCCAGUCCCAUGUAACCCGCCGGCUCCUGCAUUAACCCAGGGGCGCCUCGCUUGUAUCUGUGCAUUUGGCUGGGAACUUGCCCACUAUUAUGAGCUGAAUAAACUGUUUAUAAACUUGA
This is an RNA transcript of Lynx canadensis (Canada lynx), 2326 nucleotides long. It is a transcript of the gene named vesicle associated membrane protein 3, with no coding region annotated. The record is from RefSeq and is a predicted model, not a curated record. NCBI's taxonomy places the organism in Eukaryota, Metazoa, Chordata, Mammalia, Carnivora, Felidae. The transcript is spliced from 6 exons.